This 309-nucleotide unclassified non-coding RNA is filed under the name uncultured fungus. Its description in RNAcentral is "partial contains 5.8S ribosomal RNA and internal transcribed spacer 2". The stretch from base 1 to 133 matches the Rfam family "5.8S ribosomal RNA", at positions 22 to 154 of the family's 154-position model. The record is from RNAcentral. Lineage: Eukaryota; Fungi.
UGGUUCUGGCAUCGAUGAAGAACGCAGCGAAAUGCGAUAAGUAAUGUGAAUUGCAGAAUUCAGUGAAUCAUCGAAUCUUUGAACGCACAUUGCGCCCUUUGGCAUUCCGAAGGGCAUGCCCGUUCGAGCGUCAUUAAAACCCUCAAGCCUGGCUUGGUAUUGGGUGUCGGGCGACGACCCGCGCCUCUAUUCUGUCGGCUGGACUGUUAGAAUCUCAGCGUUGUGCAAUCAAUUCGCUAAGGACGAUAACAGGCCGUGCCGUUAAACCCAUCAAAGGUUGACCUCGGAUCGGGUAGGGAUACCCGCUGA